Molecule: long non-coding RNA, 469 nt
Filed under: Salvia miltiorrhiza (redroot sage)
Lineage: Eukaryota; Viridiplantae; Streptophyta; Magnoliopsida; Lamiales; Lamiaceae
Description: long non-coding RNA (SMIL_LNC003506)
Source: RNAcentral
CCAUCAAUUACCUCACAAUACGAACAUGGCUAUGGGAGGCCAUAUCUUUACGCACCGCAAAAGAAAUCUCCUCAAUUUCAUAUGGCCACCACCCUUCCACACGGUGUUGAUUUGCCAUAAUAUCAGCAGCCGCAUUCCCUUCACGAAAAAUGUGCGUCACCUUAAGCCUGAAAGAUGACAAACACUUGAGGAUAGAUUUCCAUGCCGCUGCAAACCUCCAAGGGACAUCAGACGAGCGUUUCUGCAGUAGGUUAACCACAUAAAUGGAGUCAGCCUCGAUCCACAGAUCAAGCCAGCCACGAGCAUGGGCGAUUUGAAUCGCACUAAUGAUUGCCAGGAGUUCAGCUUCAAAAGCAAACCCAAGUCCACCCUUAUAGUGAAAGCACCCACGAACCACAUUCCAAUUGUCACGGAAGACACCCCCCGCAGCAAUGAGACCCGGCGCUCCCGCCGCCGAUCCGUCAGUAUU